CCUACGGGGGGCAGCAGUGGGGAAUAUUGGACAAUGGACGCAAGUCUGACCCAGCAACGCCGCGUGAAGGAAGAAGGCUUUCGGGUUGUAAACUUCUGUUAAGGGGGAAGAGCAGAAGACGGUACCCCUUGAAUAAACCACGGCUAACUACGUGCCAGCAGCCGCGGUAAUACGUAGGUGGCAAGCGUUGUCCUGAUUUGCUGGGUGUAAAGGGCGGGCAGCCGGAGAGGCAAGUCAGAUGUGAAAGCCGCGGGCUCAACUCGCGAACUGCAUUUGAAACUGCUUUCCUUGAGUAUCGGAGAGGUAAUCGGAAUUCCUUGUGUAGCGGUGGAAUGCGUAGAUAUUAGGAAGAACACCAGUGGCGAAGGCGGAUUUCUGGACGACAACUGACGGUGAGGCGCGAAAGCGUGGGGAGCAAACAGGAUUAGAUACCCGAGUAGUC
This 442-nucleotide ribosomal RNA is filed under the name uncultured bacterium. RNAcentral's name for it is "partial 16S ribosomal RNA". It matches the Rfam family "Bacterial small subunit ribosomal RNA", at positions 338 to 795 of the family's 1533-position model. The record is from RNAcentral.